RNAcentral lists this ribosomal RNA (520 nucleotides) under uncultured Glomus. RNAcentral describes it as "SSU rRNA". It matches the Rfam family "Eukaryotic small subunit ribosomal RNA", at positions 569 to 1093 of the family's 1831-position model. Lineage: Eukaryota; Fungi; Glomeromycota; Glomeromycetes; Glomerales; Glomeraceae. The record is from RNAcentral.
AGCAGCCGCGGUAAUUCCAGCUCCAAUAGCGUAUAUUAAAGUUGUUGCAGUUAAAAAGCUCGUAGUUGAAUUUCGGGAUUAGUACGUCGGUCGUGCCUUCGGUACGUACUGGUGUUACUGAUUCCUACCUUCUGACGAACCAUCAUGUCAUUAAUUUGGUGUGGCGGGGAAUCAGGACUGUUACUUUGAAAAAAUUAGAGUGUUUAAAGCAGGCUCGCGCUUGAAUACAUUAGCAUGGAAUAAUGAAAUAGGACGUUGACCCUAUUUUGUUGGUUUCUAGGAUUGACGUAAUGAUUAAUAGGGAUAGUUGGGGGCAUUAGUAUUCAAUUGUCAGAGGUGAAAUUCUUGGAUUUAUUGAAGACUAACUACUGCGAAAGCAUUUGCCAAGGAUGUUUUCAUUAAUCAAGAACGAAAGUUAGGGGAUCGAAGACGAUCAGAUACCGUCGUAGUCUUAACCAUAAACUAUGCCGACUAGGGAUCGGAUGAUGUUAUUUUUAAUGACUCAUUCGGCGCCUUACGG